CCCAGAAGUAUUGUUCUCAUAAAGAGAACAGGAGCAAAGAAAGAGCUGGGAACCCAAGAGACGUGUUCAUCAUCUUGAUCUGAAAUAUGUUUCCUCUAAAGGGCUGAGACACAGAGAAACAAGGUGGUAAGCAGUGCACAGUGCCCAUGCCUCUGACACAACCCUUGGACAUGACAGAAGAUGCAAAAACAAAGACCAGGCCAUCCUGAGCCAACCAAGAAGGAAAUAACAAAGAGGUGGCCCUGCUGCUGAGAUGUGAAAGGAAAACUGUCAACAGUGAUUUGCAACCUGUACCCCACUGCCUGCCACGCCCCAGGUUUUCCUGGGACCCCGCUCUCCUGUAGCUCUAGGAAACAGGGAAGGAGGCACCAGCAAUCACUUCCUGUUUGUCCCUCCUGGUCACCAACCUGGGAAGACGGGAGGUGAAACUGCAGAUUGGCCAUUGAGUGCCGGCCUUCGGGAACGACCCGGAGCCCAGCAACACUCCAGGCUGUGGAAGUCAUCUGUGCCUGCAUGGCACAGCGCCCACCUCUCUGGAAUGUCGCCAGUGCUUGUGAGUCGACAGCCAUCCGCCCAUUCCGUGGGGCACUGGGGGGACGGAAACAAAGCCCAGAAGAGGACACAGGGGGACAGGUAGAGUGCAAAGGGCACUUUCCAACACUCUGAGCCAGGUUCUAUUAUGAGAACCCAGUGGCUCUGAGUUGUUCACACUGCUUCUGCAAACCCCUAAUUUCUCUGGAGGUAUCUCUGCUACCCUUAGUUCGGUAGUUCACAAACUCGGACUGGGAAAUGCAGAACGCAGCACUCAGUUCCCAACACUCUGAGGUCAUCCCGCCAACUUCUGGGAGGAGGACAGCUCUGCUCAGCUGCUCCUGGACAGCCAAGCGGCAGCCUAGCAGUGGUCCUCUAUUCCUUCCUGAUCUUUUAAUUUGCUAGUUUAGUUCAUGUUUACCCAGCGAAUGCCACACAGGGGUAUCUUGGGGACUGCAGAGCCUUGGAGUGUUCAGGCUCUAGAGAAAACCCCUGCGCACUUCUGGGAAACCCCAAUUUGCCUUGAGCAAAUCCCACUAAGUGCUCUAGAUGCCGGGUCUGCCGUGCAGCAGAUCCCACCAGCAUUGGGCUGGGAAGAGUCCAUUAUACCACCAGGAUCUCUGCACCGUGUGACAAGCAUUGUGCUGAUGCCCAAGGCAGCUGGGCAGGGGGAGGCGAUGAGGGAGAAGGAGCGGAGUGGGAGGAGCGGUGCAAAUACACAAUUCGUCCUCCUUAACAGCCACAUCAUUAGCACAGCCACAAAGCAGAAGGCAGGAGUCCUUCACCGUCCAGGGUCAAGGCAGGGGACACCGUUCCUCAUUCUCCCACCCACCCUUCCCCUCCAGUGCAGCCCAG
Fukomys damarensis (Damara mole-rat) is the source of this 1386-nucleotide long non-coding RNA. RefSeq lists it as uncharacterized. NCBI's taxonomy places the organism in Eukaryota, Metazoa, Chordata, Mammalia, Rodentia, Bathyergidae. The record is from RefSeq and is a predicted model, not a curated record. The transcript has 3 exons.